RNAcentral lists this transfer RNA (68 nucleotides) under Pachycondyla annamita. Its description in RNAcentral is "tRNA-Ser". The record is from RNAcentral. Lineage: Eukaryota; Metazoa; Arthropoda; Insecta; Hymenoptera; Formicidae.
AGUUUAUUAUUCAUUUAAGGAAAUAUGUUUUGAAAACAUAUAAAAGAAAUUAAAAUUUCUAUAAACUU